UACGGAGGAUCCAAGCGUUAUCCGGAAUCAUUGGGUUUAAAGGGUCCGUAGGCGGUUUAGUAAGUCAGUGGUGAAAGCCCAUCGCUCAACGGUGGAACGGCCAUUGAUACUGCUAAACUUGAAUUAUUAGGAAGUAACUAGAAUAUGUAGUGUAGCGGUGAAAUGCUUAGAGAUUACAUGGAAUACCAAUUGCGAAGGCAGGUUACUACUAAUUGAUUGACGCUGAUGGACGAAAGCGUGGGUAGCGAACAGG
This 253-nucleotide ribosomal RNA is filed under the name uncultured bacterium. Its description in RNAcentral is "partial 16S ribosomal RNA". It matches the Rfam family "Bacterial small subunit ribosomal RNA", at positions 524 to 776 of the family's 1533-position model. The record is from RNAcentral.